UAGCGGCGGACGGGUGAGUAACACGUGAGUAACCUGCCUUAGACAUUGGGAUAGCCUCGGGAAACCGGGAUUAAUACCAAAUAAAAUCAUAAUGACACAUGUCAUAACGAUCAAAACUCCGGUGGUCUAAGAUGGACUCGCGUCCCAUUAGCUAGUUGGUAGAGUAAAAGCCUACCAAGGCGACGAUGGGUAGCCGGCCUGAGAGGGUGAACGGCCACAUUGGAACUGAGAAACGGUCCAA
RNAcentral lists this ribosomal RNA (241 nucleotides) under uncultured Eubacteriales bacterium. RNAcentral describes it as "uncultured Clostridiales bacterium partial 16S ribosomal RNA". It matches the Rfam family "Bacterial small subunit ribosomal RNA", at positions 93 to 334 of the family's 1533-position model. The record is from RNAcentral. Lineage: Bacteria; Bacillati; Bacillota; Clostridia; Eubacteriales.